AGAGUUUGAUCCUGGCUCAGGGUGAACGCUGGCGGCGUGCUUGACACAUGCAAGUCGAACGGUAUGUGGCAACACAUAGAGUGGCGAACGGGUGAGUAACACGUGGGAACGUAUCUUUUGCAGGGGGAUAACUGACCGAAAGGACAGCUAAUACCGCAUAAGUCCGGGAGGAGAAAGGUGCAACAGCAUCGGCAGAAGAGCGGCCCGCGGUCCAUCAGCUAGUUGGUGAGGUAAGGGCUUACCAAGGCGACGACGGAUAGCCGGCGUGAGAGCGUGGCCGGCCACAAGGACACUGAGAUACGGGUCCUACUCCUACGGGAAACAGCAGUGCGGAAUUUUAGAUAAUGGAGGGAACUCUGAUCUAGCGACGCCGCGUGCAGGAAGAAGGUCUUCGGAUUGUAAACUGCUGUGGUAAGGGAAAAAUGCUAUGUAGAGUGGAAAGCUACAUAGAGGGAUGGUACCUUACUAGAAAGCCCCGGCUAACUACGUACCAGCAGCCGCGGUAAUACGUAGGGGGCGAGCGUUACCCGGAAUCACUGGGCGUAAAGGGAGCGUAGGUGGCCUAACAUGUCAACUGUGAAAACCCGGAGCUCAACUCCGGACUUGCAGUUGAAACUGGUAGGCUUGAGGACGGUAGAGGAAGACGGAACUGCCAGUGUAGGGGUAAAAUCCUUAGAUAUUGGCAGGAACGCCGGUGACGAAGGUGGUUUUCUGGGCCGGUUCUGACACUGAUGCUCGAAAGCCAGGGGAGCGAACGGGAUUAGAUACCCCGGUAGUCCUGGCCCUAAACGAUGUUCACUAGGUGUGGGGAGCGGAAAGCUCUCCGUGCUAAAGCUAACGCGAUAAGUGAACCGCCUGGGGAGUACGCCCGCAAGGGUGAAACUCAAAUGAAUUGACGG
RNAcentral lists this ribosomal RNA (899 nucleotides) under Thermotogae bacterium enrichment culture clone L11_1_3. RNAcentral describes it as "bacterial SSU rRNA". It matches the Rfam family "Bacterial small subunit ribosomal RNA", at positions 8 to 916 of the family's 1533-position model. Lineage: Bacteria; Thermotogati; Thermotogota; Thermotogae. The record is from RNAcentral.